RNAcentral lists this ribosomal RNA (303 nucleotides) under uncultured bacterium. Its description in RNAcentral is "partial 16S ribosomal RNA". It matches the Rfam family "Bacterial small subunit ribosomal RNA", at positions 507 to 807 of the family's 1533-position model. The record is from RNAcentral.
AGCAGUAGCCGCGGUAAUACGAAGGGUGCAAGCGUUAAUCGGAAUUACUGGGCGUAAAGCGUGCGUAGGCGGUUUGUUAAGUCUGUUGUGAAAUCCCCGGGCUCAACCUGGGAAUGGCAAUGGAUACUGGCAAGCUAGAGUGUGUCAGAGGAUGGUGGAAUUCCCGGUGUAGCGGUGAAAUGCGUAGAGAUCGGGAGGAACAUCAGUGGCGAAGGCGGCCAUCUGGGACAACACUGACGCUGAGGCACGAAAGCGUGGGGAGCAAACAGGAUUAGAUACCCCGGUAGUCCCUGUCUCUUAUAC